AUGCAAGUCGAACGAACUCUUCGGAGUUAGUGGCGGACGGGUGAGUAACACGUGGGAACGUGCCUUUUGGUUCGGAAUAACUCAGGGAAACUUGUGCUAAUACCGAAUGUGCCCUUCGGGGGAAAGAUUUAUCGCCAUUAGAGCGGCCCGCGUCUGAUUAGCUAGUUGGUGAGGUAAAGGCUCACCAAGGCGACGAUCAGUAGCUGGUCUGAGAGGAUGAUCAGCCACAUUGGGACUGAGACACGGCCCAAACUCCUACGGGAGGCAGCAGUGGGGAAUCUUGCGCAAUGGGCGAAAGCCUGACGCAGCCAUGCCGCGUGAAUGAUGAAGGUCUUAGGAUUGUAAAAUUCUUUCACCGGGGACGAUAAUGACGGUACCCGGAGAAGAAGCCCCGGCUAACUUCGUGCCAGCAGCCGCGGUAAUACGAAGGGGGCUAGCGUUGCUCGGAAUUACUGGGCGUAAAGGGAGCGUAGGCGGACAUUUAAGUCAGGGGUGAAAUCCCGGGGCUCAACCUCGGAAUUGCCUUUGAUACUGGGUGUCUUGAGUAUGAGAGAGGUAUGUGGAACUCCGAGUGUAGAGGUGAAAUUCGUAGAUAUUCGGAAGAACACCAGUGGCGAAGGCGACAUACUGGCUCAUUACUGACGCUGAGGCUCGAAAGCGUGGGGAGCAAACAGGAUUAGAUACCCUGGUAGUCCACGCCGUAAACGAUGAUUGCUAGUUGUCGGGAUGCAUGCAUUUCGGUGACGCAGCUAACGCAUUAAGCAAUCCGCCUG
This 773-nucleotide ribosomal RNA is filed under the name rhizosphere soil bacterium BEM-709. Its description in RNAcentral is "bacterial SSU rRNA". It matches the Rfam family "Bacterial small subunit ribosomal RNA", at positions 55 to 875 of the family's 1533-position model. The record is from RNAcentral.